Molecule: non-coding RNA, 31 nt
Filed under: Homo sapiens (human)
Lineage: Eukaryota; Metazoa; Chordata; Mammalia; Primates; Hominidae
Source: RNAcentral
UGGAGAAUUUUUCCCACUUGUGCCUGUGUGC